ACAGCAGUAGGCCGGCCGGUGGUGCUCGACGCCGUUCUUCCUCAUCUGGAGCGGCAGCGGCAGCACCCCGACGCCCUUCUUCCCCAUCUGCAGUAUCGCCGCCGCAAUAACCACCACCCCUCCGCCGCCGCCACCACUCACCACUCACCACCAUCUCCUCCGUCUCGCCGCCGCCGCCAAAAGGGAAAGAUGGUCCGCGUACGCAUCUUCUGCCAUGACGACCUCCAAGCCCUGCGGAACCGCUCCGAUCAGCACCUGUCUGUAGAGCUCGUCUCUCUGGAUUCCGUGAGCAUAGCGAGCGACUCGUGUAAACUCCUCCUCAACCUGAUUGAGGGGAGGGACUAUCCCAAGAAGGUCAAGCUGACUGAGCGGAGGUACUGGAAAUGCCGCCAGAUGGUUCUCCUCUCGCUGAUAGCAGGCGUGGCGCUGGAGCUCCACAAGAUCAAGCAUGAUCUGUAUCCCCUCCUUUCUCGGGAGGCCAAGCUGGAAGGGGGCUUCGUGGAACACCUCCUACUCCUGAAGAACUCAGCACUUACGCUUGUACGUCUGGCCAAGGACGCUAAGGAAAUAGUCGAAGGACUUGAUCAGGAGGUUGUGAUCGAUGGGCUCUUAGGCAAAGUUAAAAAGUUUGGCAAAGUGGUAGAGGAUACCGCUGAUCUGGUAUUGAAAGGUACUCACAACAUUGCCUGGCUUCAGAAACGUCUCCCGUCGGUUCUUGAUCCGGUCGACCUUCUGUUGUUGACCCCCGUUCAGUUCCCUGAUCCUCAUAAGUAGACUAUCAGCUGUUUCUUGCCAGCUCUGGACUGUUGUGAUGAGUAUUUUUUAGGGGGCCUGGCAAACAGCUUAAAACUGUAGAGCGAACCUCCAACCGGUCCUCCACAUCUAAGCAAGAUGUGUCAUGGAAGAAGAUGAAGUUAUAGAGAAGAUUAGGCCUUGAUGUUCUACAGCAAGGUGGUGUAUUGGAUUCAGUGGUGUGAGAUAUGGUUCUGCUGCUCACCAACCAGUAGAAUUUGUUGUUGAUUUUCCAGGAGACACUGAGAAGGUCGUAGGGGACUGGGUGGCGGUGCUCCAAGCCAGCAGGGGGCUGGGUGGCAGUGUUCCACAUCAGUAGAACACUACUUAAUUUGUCUUUACAAAUUCUCGGAACUUAAGUAUGGGUGACGGCCUGCUUUUCGACAUAGAAGAAUACCAUAAGGAAAUGCUGUGCAUACCUCGACUGCUCUUCCUUUGGGUCGCCUGUUCUCUGUAUGUGUUUGGUCCAACAUAGAACUAAGAGGACAUGUCGGCUUUGUAGUUCUGUAUAGCAACAAUAGAUGGUGCUAUCUAUUUUUCAGGUUUCUAAUCAACUCGGUCUGCCUCAGAAUUAAGCUAAAGCUAAAUUUCUGGACAUAAUGCAUCAGCCAUAGCCCAUAGCAGUGCGUACCACGACUAAGAGCCGUCUACCCAUGCUGGUGGAGGUGGUGGUCUAGCGAAGAAAGCUAGAAACUAAGUUACCCUGCGCCUGCAGAGAUGCUACUCCUUAAGGUCUCUGUUGCCGAAUGUCUCAUUGUUGAUGUAUAUUGAGACCAGCUACCUCUGCCUUUUAGAAUCUGUGUUGGUUACACAAAACUCAUCAGGUUAUUGACGCGUGUUUCCAAACUGAUCGAAACUUAUGUAUUUAGUACUAUUUACAUGUGAUCAAAACUUAUGUAUUGAAUGCGGUGUGAAUUUCUAUAUUGCUUCCCAUGUGUGCUUCA
Long non-coding RNA from Lolium rigidum, 1736 nucleotides. RefSeq lists it as uncharacterized. Lineage: Eukaryota; Viridiplantae; Streptophyta; Magnoliopsida; Poales; Poaceae. The transcript is spliced from 11 exons. The record is from RefSeq and is a predicted model, not a curated record.